UUGAACGCUGGCGGCAGGCCUAACACAUGCAAGUCGAACGGUAACAGGAAGAAGCUUGCUUCUUUGCUGACGAGUGGCGGACGGGUGAGUAAUGUCUGGGAAACUGCCUGAUGGAGGGGGAUAAAUAAUGGAAACGGGAGCUAAUACCGCAUAACGUCGCAAGACCAAAGAGGGGGACCUUCGGGGCUCUUGCCAUCGGAGGUGGCCAGAUGGGAUUAGCUAGUAGGUGGGGUAACGGCUCACCUAGGCGACGAUCCCUAGCUGGUCUGAGAGGAUGACCAGCCACACUGGAACUGAGACACGGUCCAGACUCCUACGGGAGGCAGCAGUGGGGAAUAUUGCACAAUGGGCGCAAGCCUGAUGCAGCCAUGCCGCGUGUAUGAAGAAGGCCUUCGGGUUGUAAAGUACUUUCAGCGGGGAGGAAGGGAGUAAAGUUAAUACCUUUGCUCAUUGACGUUACCCGCAGAAGAAGCACCGGCUAACUCCGUG
Molecule: ribosomal RNA, 489 nt
Filed under: uncultured bacterium
Lineage: Bacteria
Description: partial 16S ribosomal RNA
Rfam family: Bacterial small subunit ribosomal RNA
Source: RNAcentral